Molecule: long non-coding RNA, 583 nt
Organism: Nicotiana tabacum (common tobacco)
Lineage: Eukaryota; Viridiplantae; Streptophyta; Magnoliopsida; Solanales; Solanaceae
Source: RefSeq, a predicted model, not a curated record
GACCUACUCUCGAAGAUAAUAAUAUUGGCCAAAAACUCUGCUUACCCCAUCCAAAGUUGGAGAGAAUAAUGUCACCGUUUGAAAUAAUCCGUGGUUAAAUGAGAAAUUGACAAGGUUUUGUGUUUGAAUUUGAGAAAGAGGAGGAAAAAAAAAAGGAAAAAGAAUUCAAAAGAUCAUUUCAUCCCAAAGCAUCAAGGCCUUAAGGAAGAAGACAAACUCACAGAGUUCUACCAAUAAUUUAAUCUGCUUUCAUUCUCAACCGUGAAGACAAAUGGAAUUUAGUCGAUAUACCUGAAAAGAAUUCCAGCAAGGAGCAGAAGGGUUUCUACUGACUGAAAGCGAGCGAUUUUAAUGAGGGAUAUCUGCGAUGCAUCGUGUAGCAAGUGCAGGCAACACAUCCAAUUCGGUGAGGGCUCGGAAGGAGAAGAGGUUGACUUAUCUUUUAAAUGAUGCCCGAUGACACUAAGAUUCAGGCGUAUCUGGUCCCGCUCCCGAGUGCUGAUCAUUCCGGCUUAGGCGGAUCUGAGGAGUCUCUAAGUAGUUGUUGGCGUUCGCAGCCCGGAGCUCUUCCCUAUCUUACUUC